CUCUAAAAAACUUGGAGAACAAAAGACAUCAUGGAAAGCAUCUCAAAGAUUCGCACCCAUCAACUAGGAUUUACUAAGGUGAGAUUCAUCCUAAGAGUGAUGAGGUUGGAGAUGAGAGUUAGGCCUUGCAUUGGUGUUGUGUUCUAAUAGGAUGUGACGUUAGAGUUGUUGCUAGGAUUUCAUGUUUUCCAUUUUGUUGUUUCUUUAUGCUAGAACUAUUUGUUAGAUUUUAUUUUGUAAUCAUUGAGCAUUGUUUUAGGUUUUUUUGUAUUUGUUUGAUUAUGUGGCAUGAGGAGUUUUGAGAACUUUGUUUUAUUCAAAAAUAUUAAUCCAAAAAUUUGUCUUAUCUUUGAUUAA
Long non-coding RNA from Cajanus cajan (pigeon pea), 357 nucleotides. RefSeq lists it as uncharacterized. The record is from RefSeq and is a predicted model, not a curated record. NCBI's taxonomy places the organism in Eukaryota, Viridiplantae, Streptophyta, Magnoliopsida, Fabales, Fabaceae.